GCUUAUGUGAUAAGUUUGCUGUUUCUAAUCCUCCAUUUUCACCAUUUUAGGUUAGACAAGAUUCAAUAUGUCGACUUAUUGUUAUAUUUCAACCAAAGACAUUUUACCAAAUCGUAAUUGUUCCUUAACUGACAGCUCUGCGGACUGAGCGUGUUUCUCAUCCUCUGAAGUUCAGAAGUAUUUUUGCAGGAGGCAAUUUUCCUUCUCUGGCUGUUGGCUUCUUGUGUAUAGUCAUUUUGAAUUUCUGGAAGACGCAGAAUUCUCUUAUUCCAAAUGCGGUGAAUGAAAUGGACGAGGACACACCACCUGCUGAAAUGAGCUGGCCCUUCUGCUGGAUCGUACUUCGCAGCAGUCGUCACUGUAUGUUUUGAUCACACUUUAUAAAGACAUUCACAAGAGGACUUCCAGAACGGCUUCAGAAAGCGGCGGGAACAAUGGGAUAAGUGUGUCCAAAGAGAGGAGGAGUGUUUUAAAUGGGAU
Molecule: long non-coding RNA, 480 nt
Filed under: Fukomys damarensis (Damara mole-rat)
Lineage: Eukaryota; Metazoa; Chordata; Mammalia; Rodentia; Bathyergidae
Description: lncRNA (ENSFDAG00000032828.1)
Source: RNAcentral